CCUACGGGUGGCAGCAGUGAGGAAUAGUGGUCAAUGGACGGAAGUCUGAACCAGCCAUGCCGCGUGCAGGAAGACGGCUCUAUGAGUUGUAAACUGCUUUUGUACAAGGGUAAACCUGAAUACGUGUAUGCAGCUGAAAGUACUGUACGAAUAAGGAUCGGCUAACUCCGUGCCAGCAGCCGCGGUAAUACGGAGGAUCCAAGCGUUAUCCGGAUUUCUUGGGGUGAAAGGGUGCGUAGGCGGAUUGAUAAGUGAGAGGUGAAAUGUCCGAGCUUAACGCGGGAACUGCCUCUAAUACUGUUGAUCUAGAGCGUAGCUGCGGUAGGCGGACUGUUUGGUGUCGCGG
Molecule: ribosomal RNA, 346 nt
Filed under: uncultured bacterium
Lineage: Bacteria
Description: partial 16S ribosomal RNA
Rfam family: Bacterial small subunit ribosomal RNA
Source: RNAcentral